ACAAGGAUGGAGCGGCGCGCGGGAAUGAUUUGAAUUUAUUUCAGGCAUCCAUUCGGUAAUGUGUGAGAAAAUAACGCGCUCUUUCUUCAGUGAGUCUGUUUCACCAACUACAACAAAUUCGGACAAUACUACAGCAGACAUCAUCACAACCACUGAGGAAUGAAACGCACAUCUUGAGGCCUGAGGCGGAGUAAACUGUCAUUACAUAUGGGAUCGUUGAUUAUGAAAACUGCAUCCAUCCUGGACAGUAACACUGCUACUGUAGGCAGUAAUAUGAUGCAGCUAAGACAAAGUCGUGUGGAAAGACUGGAGAUCUACAGCAGAUAAGCAUGGCAAUUCAGAUCUUGGACUCCAAAAGUGAUUUGCAGAAGACAUCUUGGAAUGCAUGGAGGUGAG
This is a long non-coding RNA of Labeo rohita (rohu), 396 nucleotides long. RefSeq lists it as uncharacterized. The transcript has 4 exons. NCBI's taxonomy places the organism in Eukaryota, Metazoa, Chordata, Actinopteri, Cypriniformes, Cyprinidae. The record is from RefSeq and is a predicted model, not a curated record.